RNAcentral lists this ribosomal RNA (561 nucleotides) under uncultured archaeon. RNAcentral describes it as "bacterial SSU rRNA". It matches the Rfam family "Archaeal small subunit ribosomal RNA", at positions 326 to 891 of the family's 1478-position model. The record is from RNAcentral.
CGGGGUGCAGCAGGCGCGAAAACUUUGCAAUGCGGGAAACCGUGACAAGGGAACUCUGAGUGCCCGUUAAAUCGGGCUGUCCAUCGGUUUAAAUAACCGGUGAAGAAAGGGCCGGGCAAGACCGGUGCCAGCCGCCGCGGUAAUACCGGCGGCUCGAGUGGUGGCCACUAUUACUGGGCUUAAAGCGUUCGUAGCUGGUUUGUUAAGUCUCUGGGGAAAUCUUCCGGCUUAACCGGAAGGCGUCUCAGGGAUACUGGCAGACUAGGGACCGGGAGAGGUGAGAGGUACUCCAGGGGUAGGAGUGAAAUCCUGUAAUCCUUGGGGGACCACCUGUGGCGAAGGCGUCUCACCAGAACGGCUCCGACAGUGAGGGACGAAAGCUGGGGGAGCAAACCGGAUUAGAUACCCGGGUAGUCCCAGCUGUAAACGAUGUGCGUUAGGUGUAUCGGUGACCACGAGUCACCGAGGUGCCGAAGAGAAAUCGUGAAACGUACCGCCUGGGAAGUACGGUCGCAAGGCUGAAACUUAAAGGAAUUGGCGGGGGAGCACAAGGGCGAAUGC